This 301-nucleotide ribosomal RNA is filed under the name uncultured bacterium. Its description in RNAcentral is "partial 16S ribosomal RNA". It matches the Rfam family "Bacterial small subunit ribosomal RNA", at positions 509 to 809 of the family's 1533-position model. The record is from RNAcentral.
CAGCCGCCGCGGUAAUACAGAGGAUGCAAGCGUUAUCCGGAAUGAUUGGGCGUAAAGCGUCUGUAGGUGGCUUUUCAAGUCCGCCGUCAAAUCCCAGGGCUCAACCCUGGACAGGCGGUGGAAACUACCAAGCUAGAGUACGGUAGGGGCAGAGGGAAUUUCCGGUGGAGCGGUGAAAUGCGCUGAGAUCGAAAAGAACACCAACGGCGAAAGCACUCUGCUGGGCCGACACUGACACUGAGAGACGAAAGCUAGGGGAGCAAAUGGGAUUAGAUACCCCCGUAGUCCCUGUCUCUUAUAA